UACCAGCACCCCGAGUGGUCGGGACGUUUAUUGGGCCUAAAGCAUCCGUAGCCGGUUCUACAAGUCUUCCGUUAAAUCCAACUGCUUAACAGGUGGGCUGCGGAAGAUAUUAUAGAGCUAGGAGGCGGGAGAGGCAAGCGGUACUCGAUGGGUAGGGGUAAAAUCCGUUGAUCCAUUGAAGACCACCAGUGGCGAAGGCGGCUUGCCAGAACGCGCUCGACGGUGAGGGAUGAAAGCUGGGGGAGCAAACCGG
This 253-nucleotide ribosomal RNA is filed under the name uncultured bacterium. Its description in RNAcentral is "partial 16S ribosomal RNA". It matches the Rfam family "Archaeal small subunit ribosomal RNA", at positions 474 to 727 of the family's 1478-position model. The record is from RNAcentral.